ACGAACGCUGGCGGCAGGCUUAACACAUGCAAGUCGAGCGCAGUAGCAAUACUGAGCGGCAGACGGGUGCGUAACACGUGGGAACAUACCUUUUGGUUUGGAAUAACUCAGGGAAACUUGAGCUAAUACCGGAUAAGCCCUUCGGGGGAAGGAUUUAUCGCCGAAAGAUUGGCCCGCGUCUGAUUAGCUAGUUGGUGGGGUAAUGGCCCACCAAGGCGACGAUCAGUAGCUGGUCUGAGAGGAUGACCAGCCACACUGGGACUGAGACACGGCCCAGACUCCUACGGGAGGCAGCAGUGGGGAAUAUUGGACAAUGGGGGCAACCCUGAUCCAGCCAUGCCGCGUGAGUGAUGAAGGCCUUAGGGUUGUAAAGCUCUUUUACCAGGGAAGAUAAUGACUGUACCUGGAGAAUAAGCCCCGGCUAACUUCGU
This 431-nucleotide ribosomal RNA is filed under the name uncultured bacterium. RNAcentral's name for it is "bacterial SSU rRNA". It matches the Rfam family "Bacterial small subunit ribosomal RNA", at positions 29 to 506 of the family's 1533-position model. The record is from RNAcentral.